Bos taurus (domestic cattle) is the source of this 411-nucleotide long non-coding RNA. Lineage: Eukaryota; Metazoa; Chordata; Mammalia; Artiodactyla; Bovidae. The record is from Ensembl.
CAGAAAGCCACCCCUCACCUGUCCAAACAGAACCCGCUGCUUCUCUGACGCCGGCAGAUGCCUCAGCUACAGCCCACCCCUAGGCCAUCAAGAGGCCAAAUUUGCGCACACACCCAUCUUCCCCUAUUGUCUGAAGGCUGUUCUUCUUCUCUCUGCAUCCCCAAUGCCUAAGAUGCCCAGCAGGUAUGUGUCGAACUAAGGAGAGAGUACAUCUGAGGAUGGGAGCGUGAGAAAAGAAAGUGAAACUGUUCAUCGCUCAGUAGUGUCCAACCGUUUUCGACCCCAUGGACUAUAGCCCACCAAGCUCCUCUGUCCAUGGAAUUCUCCAGGCAGAUUCUUUACCAUCUGAGUCACCAGAGAAGCUCUUCUUCCAGAAAACAGGAGAGCAAACUCCCCACGUGAAAGAUGCCC